Molecule: unclassified non-coding RNA, 449 nt
Filed under: uncultured Clavulina
Lineage: Eukaryota; Fungi; Basidiomycota; Agaricomycetes; Cantharellales; Hydnaceae
Description: sequence contains ITS2
Rfam family: 5.8S ribosomal RNA (bases 1-154)
Source: RNAcentral
AACUUUUAACAAUGGAUCUCUUGGCUCUCGCAUCGAUGAAGAACGCAGCGAAAUGCGUUAAGUAAUGUGAAUUGCAGAAUUCAGUGAAUCAUCGAAUUUUUGAACGCACCUUGCGCUCCCUGGUAUUCCGGGGAGAACGCCUGUUCGAGUGUCGUGAAAUUUUCAAACUGAGAUGCUUUUUUGUUUCUCGGCUUGGGUUUGGGCUUUGCAUUCCCCUUUGAUUGGGAUGGCUGGCCUCAAAGGCAUUAGCUGGCUUUUCAUGUGGCAUUGGUUCUACUCAGCGUGAUAAUGAUCUGACCGCCGAGGACAUCUUUCAAGAUGGCCAAUUCUCAUUUGGGCUGCUUCUAAUCUUGGUCGAGCAGAUUCUGAAUCUGUUCCACUUUUCAACUUUUGACCUCGAAUCAGGUGGGACUACCCGCUGAACUUAAGCAUAUCAAUAAGCGGAGGCU